UGAGGGUUGAUAGGUUAAGAGCUGAUUAAUUGACGUUACCCACAGAAGAAGCACCGGCUAACUCCGUGCCAGCAGCCGCGGUAAUACGAGGGUGCAAGCGUUAAUCGAAUUACUGGGCGUAAAGCGUGCGUAGGUGGUUGGAUAAGUUAUCUGUGAAAUCCCUGGGCUCAACCUGGGCAGGUCAGAUAAGACUGUUUAACUAGAGUAUAGGAGAGGGUAGUGAAUUUCCGGUGUAGCGGUGAAAUGCGUAGAGAUCGAGGAACACCAGUGGCGAAGGCGACUACCUGGCCAGAUACUGACACUGAGGCACGAAAGCGUGGGAGCAAACAGGAUUAGAUACCCUGGUAGUCCACGCCGUAAACGAUGUCAACUAGCUGUUGGUCUUAUAAAUGAGAUUAGUGGCGCAGCAAACGCGAUAAGUUGAC
Molecule: ribosomal RNA, 425 nt
Filed under: uncultured Legionella sp.
Lineage: Bacteria; Pseudomonadati; Pseudomonadota; Gammaproteobacteria; Legionellales; Legionellaceae
Description: bacterial SSU rRNA
Rfam family: Bacterial small subunit ribosomal RNA
Source: RNAcentral